Molecule: ribosomal RNA, 301 nt
Filed under: uncultured bacterium
Lineage: Bacteria
Description: bacterial SSU rRNA
Rfam family: Bacterial small subunit ribosomal RNA
Source: RNAcentral
AGUGAACGCUGGCGGCAGGCCUAACACAUGCAAGUCGAGCGGCAGCGGGUCCCCGCGAGGGGAUGCCGGCGAGCGGCGGACGGGUGAGGAACACAUCGGAAUCUGCCUGGUUGUGGGGGAUAACGUAGGGAAACUUACGCUAAUACCGCAUGCGACCCUGAGUCGACGGACUUGGGGUGAAAGUGAGGGACCUUCGGGCCUCACGCGACCAGAUGAGCCGAUGUCGGAUUAGCUAGUUGGCGGGGUAACGGCCCGCCAAGGCGACGAUCCGUAGCUGGUCUGAGAGGAUGAUCAGCCACAC